AGCGUACACGGUGGAUGCCCUGGCAGUCAGAGGCGAUGAAGGACGUGCUAAUCUGCGAUAAGCGUCGGUAAGGUGAUAUGAACCGUUAUAACCGGCGAUUUCCGAAUGGGGAAACCCAGUGUGUUUCGACACACUAUCAUUAACUGAAUCCAUAGGUUAAUGAGGCGAACCGGGGGAACUGAAACAUCUAAGUACCCCGAGGAAAAGAAAUCAACCGAGAUUCCCCCAGUAGCGGCGAGCGAACGGGGAGCAGCCCAGAGCCUGAAUCAGUAUGUGUGUUAGUGGAAGCGUCUGGAAAGGCGCGCGAUACAGGGUGACAGCCCCGUACACAAAAAUGCACAUAUUGUGAGCUCGAUGAGUAGGGCGGGACACGUGGUAUCCUGUCUGAAUAUGGGGGGACCAUCCUCCAAGGCUAAAUACUCCUGACUGACCGAUAGUGAACCAGUACCGUGAGGGAAAGGCGAAAAGAACCCCGGCGAGGGGAGUGAAAAAGAACCUGAAACCGUGUACGUACAAGCAGUGGGAGCACGCUUAGGCGUGUGACUGCGUACCUUUUGUAUAAUGGGUCAGCGACUUAUAUUCUGUAGCAAGGUUAACCGAAUAGGGGAGCCGAAGGGAAACCGAGUCUUAACUGGGCGUUAAGUUGCAGGGUAUAGACCCGAAACCCGGUGAUCUAGCCAUGGGCAGGUUGAAGGUUGGGUAACACUAACUGGAGGACCGAACCGACUAAUGUUGAAAAAUUAGCGGAUGACUUGUGGCUGGGGGUGAAAGGCCAAUCAAACCGGGAGAUAGCUGGUUCUCCCCGAAAGCUAUUUAGGUAGCGCCUCGUGAAUUCAUCUCCGGGGGUAGAGCACUGUUUCGGCAAGGGGGUCAUCCCGACUUACCAACCCGAUGCAAACUGCGAAUACCGGAGAAUGUUAUCACGGGAGACACACGGCGGGUGCUAACGUCCGUCGUGAAGAGGGAAACAACCCAGACCGCCAGCUAAGGUCCCAAAGUCAUGGUUAAGUGGGAAACGAUGUGGGAAGGCCCAGACAGCCAGGAUGUUGGCUUAGAAGCAGCCAUCAUUUAAAGAAAGCGUAAUAGCUCACUGGUCGAGUCGGCCUGCGCGGAAGAUGUAACGGGGCUAAACCAUGCACCGAAGCUGCGGCAGCGACACUAUGUGUUGUUGGGUAGGGGAGCGUUCUGUAAGCCUGUGAAGGUGUGCUGUGAGGCAUGCUGGAGGUAUCAGAAGUGCGAAUGCUGACAUAAGUAACGAUAAAGCGGGUGAAAAGCCCGCUCGCCGGAAGACCAAGGGUUCCUGUCCAACGUUAAUCGGGGCAGGGUGAGUCGACCCCUAAGGCGAGGCCGAAAGGCGUAGUCGAUGGGAAACAGGUUAAUAUUCCUGUACUUGGUGUUACUGCGAAGGGGGGACGGAGAAGGCUAUGUUGGCCGGGCGACGGUUGUCCCGGUUUAAGCGUGUAGGCUGGUUUUCCAGGCAAAUCCGGAAAAUCAAGGCUGAGGCGUGAUGACGAGGCACUACGGUGCUGAAGCAACAAAUGCCCUGCUUCCAGGAAAAGCCUCUAAGCAUCAGGUAACAUCAAAUCGUACCCCAAACCGACACAGGUGGUCAGGUAGAGAAUACCAAGGCGCUUGAGAGAACUCGGGUGAAGGAACUAGGCAAAAUGGUGCCGUAACUUCGGGAGAAGGCACGCUGAUAUGUAGGUGAAGUCCCUCGCGGAUGGAGCUGAAAUCAGUCGAAGAUACCAGCUGGCUGCAACUGUUUAUUAAAAACACAGCACUGUGCAAACACGAAAGUGGACGUAUACGGUGUGACGCCUGCCCGGUGCCGGAAGGUUAAUUGAUGGGGUUAGCGCAAGCGAAGCUCUUGAUCGAAGCCCCGGUAAACGGCGGCCGUAACUAUAACGGUCCUAAGGUAGCGAAAUUCCUUGUCGGGUAAGUUCCGACCUGCACGAAUGGCGUAAUGAUGGCCAGGCUGUCUCCACCCGAGACUCAGUGAAAUUGAACUCGCUGUGAAGAUGCAGUGUACCCGCGGCAAGACGGAAAGACCCCGUGAACCUUUACUAUAGCUUGACACUGAACAUUGAGCCUUGAUGUGUAGGAUAGGUGGGAGGCUUUGAAGUGUGGACGCCAGUCUGCAUGGAGCCGACCUUGAAAUACCACCCUUUAAUGUUUGAUGUUCUAACGUUGACCCGUAAUCCGGGUUGCGGACAGUGUCUGGUGGGUAGUUUGACUGGGGCGGUCUCCUCCUAAAGAGUAACGGAGGAGCACGAAGGUUGGCUAAUCCUGGUCGGACAUCAGGAGGUUAGUGCAAUGGCAUAAGCCAGCUUGACUGCGAGCGUGACGGCGCGAGCAGGUGCGAAAGCAGGUCAUAGUGAUCCGGUGGUUCUGAAUGGAAGGGCCAUCGCUCAACGGAUAAAAGGUACUCCGGGGAUAACAGGCUGAUACCGCCCAAGAGUUCAUAUCGACGGCGGUGUUUGGCACCUCGAUGUCGGCUCAUCACAUCCUGGGGCUGAAGUAGGUCCCAAGGGUAUGGCUGUUCGCCAUUUAAAGUGGUACGCGAGCUGGGUUUAGAACGUCGUGAGACAGUUCGGUCCCUAUCUGCCGUGGGCGCUGGAGAACUGAGGGGGGCUGCUCCUAGUACGAGAGGACCGGAGUGGACGCAUCACUGGUGUUCGGGUUGUCAUGCCAAUGGCACUGCCCGGUAGCUAAAUGCGGAAGAGAUAAGUGCUGAAAGCAUCUAAGCACGAAACUUGCCCCGAGAUGAGUUCU
Molecule: ribosomal RNA, 2772 nt
Filed under: Escherichia coli
Lineage: Bacteria; Pseudomonadati; Pseudomonadota; Gammaproteobacteria; Enterobacterales; Enterobacteriaceae
Description: bacterial LSU rRNA
Rfam family: Bacterial large subunit ribosomal RNA
Source: RNAcentral